Long non-coding RNA from Pan troglodytes (chimpanzee), 1892 nucleotides. RefSeq lists it as uncharacterized. The record is from RefSeq and is a predicted model, not a curated record. Lineage: Eukaryota; Metazoa; Chordata; Mammalia; Primates; Hominidae. The transcript is spliced from 6 exons.
UGAAUCUAAAUUGUCUUCAGAUGACUUUUAUUUGAAGGUCAGGUUUUGAAGACACUAAAUGCUAUUGUAUAGGGAGCAUAUUCAGGUAUGUUUUGUAGAAUGUAAAUUAUAUUAUGACUUUAGAUCAUUGACAUGUUUGUACCACUGACCAUGUUAUUUCUAGCAGAUACUGAGAUAAUGCAAAUAAUGAAUUUACAAACUGAAAGAGUUAUGAUUUUUAUUAUGAGCAUCAAUGAUUAGGAAAAGUUACUCAUGAAUUACUAAAGAAGAGAUUGCCAACAGUGGCAAUAUUAUCAGUAAAAUAUGAGUAAAAGUUAUUGACUACCUAUAUAACAAUUUUAAUUUGCUAUUUGUAGUGUAAAACAUAGCAACAAGUUACAAAAUGGAAUUAGAACUGGGAAAACAUUGCCUUAUUGAGUCACUUUAUUGUGCUCUGUGUGUGGUUUUUGUUUUUUCAUCUGUAAAAUUAGAGUAAUAUAGAGGAGGAGGCAUUUUGGAAAGAUUAAGUACUUAAAAAUACAUCCUGACUUUUCCAGGUGGUGAUAAAAUUAUGAUGACGAUAGCAAUGAAAAUUUAUUGAACACUUACUCUGGACCAGACACCUAAGUGUUUUACUGGCAUUUUAUUUUAAUUCAUAAUGCCAUUUUGUAUGUUAAAACAUCCAUGUCUCAUCAAUAAGUAUCAGUGGGCAAACACAUUUUUUUUUAUUUUUUAAAUUUUUUGUUCUACCAUCUCAUCCUGAUAACUCCUACCAUGUCUUCCUUAACCAAUGGCCUCUCCCUGUAAGGUGGAUUCAUCUGUUCCUGGCAGUCCCAGGCGAACAACAUUUGCUUACCUGCCCCUUCUGUCUUCUAUGCCACUUGUGUGCCGAAUACAAUUCCAAAAUUAAGAAGAUUCCAUUUUUUAAAAAGUUGCUGAAAAUAAACGUUUGGGAACAAAAGGAGGGAAUUCUAAACACACCUGUUACCCCACAAAGAAUUAUGUACUGCAUCUUUAGCUGUUGUCUGCAAGGACCCCACUUUAACCCGGGUAUUAGAGGAUCCUGAGGAAGCCUGGGAAGGCGAGUAGUCUGAAAGGACAUUAUUGAAACAAGAAUGAUGAAUUUGCACUGAUCUGAGUAGAUUCUCUUACCCUUAUGAACGAAGUGAUGAUGAUGAUGAUGACAAUGAUGAUAAUGACGACAAUGAUGACAAUGGCCAUAAAUUACAUGGCACUGAUUACAUCUGCUGCGGUGCUGCUAUGCUAAACACUCUAUCUAUAUUAUCCUUGUUAAUUAUUUAAAAGACAACCUUAUUUUUUAUCAUUAUGUGGUAUUUAUUUAUUAUCAUCAUUUUUUGUUCUGCAGAUAAGGAAAUGGAGGCUCAGUGAGGCACUGUGCUAGACUCAGGCAAUACAAGGAUGGACAAGAAAGAAAGCAUCCCUGCCUUCAUGAAACUCACAGUCUGAAGUCAAUAAACAAACAGCUGUUGCCACUUUACAGAAAGAAAAGUGUGGCUCAGACCAUAAUUUCAGGAAGAAGCAUGCAAUUUUUGGUAAUUCAAUGAAAUAUAAAGAUGAAUCAGAAGUCCGGUAUAGAAUGCAUCAUCCAUUGGUUCUGGAUUUAACAUACGAAAUCCGUAAAAGAACUGAAAUGUUCUGAAGCUUGAAUCUCUCUCAUGCAGUUAUUCUGUUGGAUGAAGUGGCAUUUCAAAUUUGCUCACUCAGAUUUGGGACAUUAGUCUCAUUCUGAAGCACACCAAUGCUUCCAGAACUACCAGCAUGCUGUAAUGAAAGGUACCGCCACGAGACUUGAAGAAGUAUCUGACUUUGUCCCAAAAUCUAUCUGAAUAAGAACAACGGACAAACAAAAAGAUAAGGAGAAGAAAGAGGAAACAAAAGCUAAAAGGUUCACC